RNAcentral lists this ribosomal RNA (253 nucleotides) under uncultured bacterium. RNAcentral's name for it is "partial 16S ribosomal RNA". It matches the Rfam family "Bacterial small subunit ribosomal RNA", at positions 524 to 776 of the family's 1533-position model. The record is from RNAcentral.
UACAGAGGGUGCAAGCGUUGUUCGGAAUCAUUGGGCGUAAAGGGCGCGUAGGCGGCCCGGUAAGUCAGAUGUGAAAUCCCUGAGCCUAACUCAGGACGUGCAUUUGAAACUGUCGGGCUAGAGUGCAGUAGAGGUUGGUAGAAUUCCCAGUGUAGAGGUGAAAUUCGUAGAUAUUGGGAGGAAUACCGAUGGCGAAGGCAGCCAACUGGGCUGCAACUGACGCUGAGGCGCGAAAGCGUGGGUAGCAAACAGG